RNAcentral lists this ribosomal RNA (482 nucleotides) under uncultured bacterium. Its description in RNAcentral is "partial 16S ribosomal RNA". It matches the Rfam family "Bacterial small subunit ribosomal RNA", at positions 30 to 507 of the family's 1533-position model. The record is from RNAcentral.
AUUGAACGCUGGCGGCAUGCCUUACACAUGCAAGUCGAACGGUAACGGGCCUUCGGGUGCCGACGAGUGGCGAACGGGUGAGUAAUACAUCGGAACGUGCCCGAUCGUGGGGGAUAACGAGGCGAAAGCUGUGCUAAUACCGCAUACGAUCUACGGAUGAAAGCAGGGGACCGCAAGGCCUUGCGCGGACGGAGCGGCCGAUGGCAGAUUAGGUAGUUGGUGGGAUAAAAGCUUACCAAGCCGACGAUCUGUAGCUGGUCUGAGAGGAUGAUCAGCCACACUGGGACUGAGACACGGCCCAGACUCCUACGGGAGGCAGCAGUGGGGAAUUUUGGACAAUGGGCGCAAGCCUGAUCCAGCCAUGCCGCGUGCAGGAUGAAGGCCUUCGGGUUGUAAACUGCUUUUGUACGGAACGAAAAGCCUUCUUUUAAUACAGGAGGGUCAUGACGGUACCGUAAGAAUAAGCACCGGCUAACUACGUG